RNAcentral lists this ribosomal RNA (496 nucleotides) under uncultured bacterium. RNAcentral describes it as "partial 16S ribosomal RNA". It matches the Rfam family "Bacterial small subunit ribosomal RNA", at positions 28 to 507 of the family's 1533-position model. The record is from RNAcentral.
GAUGAACGCUGGCGGCGUGCCUAAUACAUGCAAGUCGAGCGAACAGACGAGGAGCUUGCUCCUCUGACGUUAGCGGCGGACGGGUGAGUAACACGUGGAUAACCUACCUAUAAGACUGGGAUAACUUCGGGAAACCGGAGCUAAUACCGGAUAAUAUAUUGAACCGCAUGGUUCAAUAGUGAAAGACGGUUUUGCUGUCACUUAUAGAUGGAUCCCGCCGCAUUAGCUAGUUGGUAAGGUAACGGCUUACCAAGGCGACGAUGCGUAGCCGACCUGAGAGGGUGAUCGGCCACACUGGAACUGAGACACGGUCCAGACUCCUACGGGAGGCAGCAGUAGGGAAUCUUCCGCAAUGGGCGAAAGCCUGACGGAGCAACGCCGCGUGAGUGAUGAAGGUCUUCGGAUCGUAAAACUCUGUUAUUAGGGAAGAACAAAUGUGUAAGUAACUAUGCACGUCUUGACGGUACCUAAUCAGAAAGCCACGGCUAACUACGUG